CUCUUGUAAGGUGAAGCCUGCCCAAUGACUGCCAAUAAUCUAAUAAAAAUCAGUUCAAUGGCCGCGGUAACUCUGACCGUGAUAAAGUAGCAUAAUCACUUGUCACUUAAUUGGUGACUGGAAUGAAUGGCUAAACGAAUCCUCCUCUGUCUCUGAAGAAAUCCUGGCAAAUUUGAAAUAGCAGUGAAGAUGCUGCUAAAUAAUUGUAAGACGAAAAGACCCUAUCGAGCUUUACUGGAAUCUUGCAAAGUAACAUAGUUAUUAAAGACAAAAUUAUACAAAUUGCAAGCCCGACAGUUUGGUUGGGGCGACCACCCCUAAAAACGUAUCAGGGGAACUCUAAAGGCUGUCAUAAUAUGAAAAACCGCCUUACUGGAGACAAACAAGUCAAUCAGUUAUAAUUUAUAGGACAUAUUGACCCGUUAUUUAGCUUCACAACAAAUAACGACUAUGAAAAAAGUUACCGUAGGGAUAACAGGGUAAUAUUUUCAGAGAGUUCAUAUCGAUGAAAAUGUUUGCCA
Molecule: ribosomal RNA, 521 nt
Filed under: Aurelia aurita (moon jelly)
Lineage: Eukaryota; Metazoa; Cnidaria; Scyphozoa; Semaeostomeae; Ulmaridae
Description: partial 16S ribosomal RNA
Rfam family: Bacterial large subunit ribosomal RNA
Source: RNAcentral